RNAcentral lists this ribosomal RNA (1920 nucleotides) under uncultured eukaryote. Its description in RNAcentral is "partial small subunit ribosomal RNA". It matches the Rfam family "Eukaryotic small subunit ribosomal RNA". The record is from RNAcentral.
UGUAUAAGCGAAAAAAUUUAUACGGUGAAACUGCGGAUGGCUCAUUAAAUCAGUUAUAGUUUAUUUGAUAGCUAUUUUACUACAUGGAUAACCGUAGUAAUUCUAGAGCUAAUACAUGCGUAAAACGCAACUCCGCAAGGGGUUGUGUGUAUUUAUUAGAUACCGAAACCAAUUCGCUGCGGCAACGUAGCGAUUGACGGUGAAUCAUAAUAACUCGUUAGAGCUCGAACCGUUCCGGGCCUUGCGCCCGACGGUAAAUCAUUCAAAUUUCUGCCCUAUCAACUUUCGACGGCGGGAUAGAGGCCCGCCGUGGUGGUAACGGGUAACGGGGAAUCAGGGUUCGAUUCCGGAGAGGGAGCCUGAGAAACGGCUACCACUUCUAAGGAAGGCAGCAGGCGCGAAAAUUACCCAAUCCUGAUACAGGGAGGUAGUGACAAUAAAUAACAAUACAAGGCCUUUACGGUUCUUGUAAUUGGAAUGAGUACAAUAUAAAACCCUUAACGAGGAUCAAUUGGAGGGCAAGUCUGGUGCCAGCAGCCGCGGUAAUACCAGCUCCAAUAGCGUAUAUUAAUGUUGCUGUAGUUAAAAAGCUCGUAGUUGGAUUUUUAUGGUCUGGGUGCAUGGCCACUUCACCGGCUACGGUUGGAGAAGUAGGUCUGGUGGAGGCUUCUGACACCUUGUGUGUCGUUGUUUUCUACCCGCUUAGACAUACACGUUGCGAACUAUGAGCCUAGUCAAGUCGGUGUGCUUAACUGUGCGCAGGCGGGGCGUUCCGAGCAAUCGGAGGGUUCGAGUUCCGUUUACUUUGAACAAAAUAGAGUGUUUAAAGCAGGCUCAAAUGUAAGCCUUGAAUAUCCUAGCAUGGAAUAAAACAGCGCAAGACUUCGGUCUUUGAGAAGUUCGGUGCCUAGUGUGCCGGGCGGAUCAGGUUUGUUGGUUUCAAGACCAGAAGUUAAGGAUUAAUAGGGAUAGUUGGGGGCAUUUUUAUUUCAUAGUCAGCGGUGAAAUGCUUGGAUUUAUGAAAGACAAACCUAUGCGAAAGCAUCUGUCAAGGAUGUUUUCAUUAAUCAAGAACGAAAGUUAGGGGAUCGAAGAUGAUUAGAUACCGUCGUAGUCUUAACCAUAAACUAUGCCGACUAGGGAUUAGGGGCCUGCUCCAUUUGGAGCGGUUUCAAACUUUCACACGCUACGCGUGAUGAAACAUCACCCCCUUAGCACCUUAUGAGAAAUCAAAGUCUUUGGGUUCCAGGGGGAGUAUGGUCGCAAGGCUGAAACUUAAAGGAAUUGACGGAAGGGCACCACCAGGCGUGGAGUUUGCGGCUUAAUUUGACCCAACACGGGAAAACUUACCAGGUCCAGACAUAGCGAGGAUUGACAGAUUGAGAGCGCUUUCUUGAUUCUAUGGGUGGUGGUGCAUGGCCGUUCUUAGUUCGUGGAGUGAUUUGUCUGCUUAAUUGCGAUAACGAACGAGACCUUAACCUGCUAAAUAGUUAUGCCUGGGAUUUCAGUGGCGGAAGACUUUUGUCGGAAGCCCACCAGGUAGAUAUACUUCUUAGAGGGACAGCUGGGUUCUAUAAACCAGAGGAAGUUUGAGGCAAUAACAGGUCUGUGAUGCCCUUAGAUGUCGUGGGCUGCACGCGCACUACAAUGAUACAUGCAACAAGUUUCUUGACCCUACUCCGAAAGGAGCGGGUAAUCUUUAAAAGUGUAUCGUACUGGGAAUAGAUGAUUGUAAUUUUUCAUCUUGAACGAGGAAUGCCUAGUAGGGGCAGUUCAUAAUACUGCCCCGAUUACGUCCCUGCCCUUUGUACACACCGCCCGUCGCUGCUACCGAUUGAAUGGUUUAAUGAGAUUCUCGGACUUUGCCGCAAGGCGGAGGAAGUUACUCAAAUUUGAUCAUUUAGAGGAAGCAAAAGUCGC